GAUAAACGCUGGCGGCGUGCCUAACACAUGCAAGUCGAACGAUCCCGCAAGGGAGAGUGGCGGAAGGGUGAGUAACACGUGGGAAUCUACCUCCUCGCAGGGAACAACCUCUCGAAAGAGAGGCUAAUACCCAAAAGGGUCAGAAAUGAUCAGAGUCGAAAGGCGUGAGGAGAGGAGCCCGCGGCCCAUCAGCUAGUUGGUGAGGUAAUGGCUUACCAAGGCUACGACGGGUAGGGGAUCUGAGAGGAUGUCCCCCACACUGGAACUGAAACACGGUCCAGACGCCUACGGGUGGCAGCAGUGAGGAAUAUUGGACAAUGGGCGAAAGCCCGAUCCAGCAACGCCGCGUGGAGGAUGAAGGCC
RNAcentral lists this ribosomal RNA (363 nucleotides) under uncultured bacterium. RNAcentral describes it as "bacterial SSU rRNA". It matches the Rfam family "Bacterial small subunit ribosomal RNA", at positions 28 to 416 of the family's 1533-position model. The record is from RNAcentral.